This 155-nucleotide ribosomal RNA is filed under the name Salinicola sp. MH3R3-1. RNAcentral's name for it is "partial 23S ribosomal RNA". The stretch from base 1 to 137 matches the Rfam family "Bacterial large subunit ribosomal RNA", at positions 2794 to 2925 of the family's 2925-position model. The record is from RNAcentral. Lineage: Bacteria; Pseudomonadati; Pseudomonadota; Gammaproteobacteria; Oceanospirillales; Halomonadaceae.
AUCCUUCAAGAUGAGAUCUCCCCGAGACCUAGAGUCUCCUAAAGGGUCCAGCAAGACUAGCUGGUUGAUAGGCACGGUGUGGAAGCGCUGCAAGGCGUUGAGCUAACGUGUACUAAUACCCCGUGAGGCUUGACCAUAUAACCCCAAGGGGUUUG